Molecule: ribosomal RNA, 832 nt
Filed under: Microbacterium sp.
Lineage: Bacteria; Bacillati; Actinomycetota; Actinomycetes; Micrococcales; Microbacteriaceae
Description: bacterial SSU rRNA
Rfam family: Bacterial small subunit ribosomal RNA
Source: RNAcentral
GGUGAUUAACACGUGAGCGACCUGCCCUGCGACUCUGGGUAUAACCGCUGGAAACGGCUGCUAUUACUGGAUAUGAGCUCUCAUCUCAUGGAGGGGGUUGGAAAGAUUUUUCUGUCUGGUGAUGGGCUCGUUGUCUAUAUUCUUGCUGGCUGACGUAAUGGCUCACCAUUGCGAUCGACGGGUUAGCCGGUCUGAGAGGGUGACCGGCCACACUGGGACUGAAACUCAGCCCAUACUCCUACUGGACGCAGCAGAGGGGAAUAUUGUACCAUGGGCGGAAGCCUGAUGCAGCUACGCCGCUUGAAGGAUGACUGCCUUCGGGUUGUAAACCUCUCUUUAGCAGGGAAGAAGCGAGAGUGACGAUACCUGCACAAAAAGCGCCGGCUAACUACGUGACCAGUCAGCCGCUGUAAUACGUAUGGCGCAAGCGUUAUCCGGAAUUAUUGGGUCGUAAAGAGCUCGUAGGCGUGUUUGUCGCGUCUGCUGUGAAAUCCCGAGGCUCAACCUCUGGCCUGCAGUGGGUACCGUCAGACUAUACUGCGGUAGGGGAGAUUGUAAUUCCUGGUGUACCGGUGGAAUGCGCAGAUAUCAUGACGAACACUAAUGGCCAACGCAUAUCUCUGGGACUAAACUGACACUGAGGACCGAUAGGUCGGCGAGCUAACACGCUUAGAUACCCUGGAAGUCCACCACAUCUGCCUUCGCAACUAGUGGUGCUGAUGAUAUCACCGCAUCCGACACCUACCUCACGCAUUAAGAUCUCCGCCUGCGGACUAUAGUCUGCACGUNNCACUCAAGGACUAGGCUGAGACUCGCAAUUCGCAGCAGACUG